UAAUACGUAGGUGGCAAGCGUUGUCCGGAUUUACUGGGCGUAAAGGGCGUGCAGGCGGUCUGUUAAGUCUAGGGUGAAAGCUCCCGGCUCAACUGGGAGAGGUCCUUGGAUACUGGCAGACUUGAGGAGAGUAGAGGAGAGUGGAAUUCCCGGUGUAGUGGUGAUAUGCGUAGAUAUCGGGAGGAACACCAGUGGCGAAGGCGGCUCUCUGGGCUCUACCUGACGCUGAGACGCGAAAGCGUGGGGAGCGAACCGGAUUAGAUACCCGGGUAGUCCACGCCGUAAACUAUGGACACUAGGUGUGGGGGGUAUCGACCCCUUCCGUGCCGAAGCUAACGCAGUAAGUGUCCCGCCUGGGGAGUACGGCCGCAAGGCUA
RNAcentral lists this ribosomal RNA (377 nucleotides) under uncultured bacterium. Its description in RNAcentral is "bacterial SSU rRNA". It matches the Rfam family "Bacterial small subunit ribosomal RNA", at positions 521 to 896 of the family's 1533-position model. The record is from RNAcentral.